RNAcentral lists this ribosomal RNA (1468 nucleotides) under Bacteroides xylanisolvens SD CC 2a. RNAcentral describes it as "SSU rRNA". It matches the Rfam family "Bacterial small subunit ribosomal RNA". The record is from RNAcentral. Lineage: Bacteria; Pseudomonadati; Bacteroidota; Bacteroidia; Bacteroidales; Bacteroidaceae.
AUGAAGAGUUUGAUCCUGGCUCAGGAUGAACGCUAGCUACAGGCUUAACACAUGCAAGUCGAGGGGCAGCAUUUUAGUUUGCUUGCAAACUAAAGAUGGCGACCGGCGCACGGGUGAGUAACACGUAUCCAACCUGCCGAUAACUCGGGGAUAGCCUUUCGAAAGAAAGAUUAAUAUCCGAUAGUAUAUUAAAACCGCAUGGUUUUACUAUUAAAGAAUUUCGGUUAUCGAUGGGGAUGCGUUCCAUUAGUUUGUUGGCGGGGUAACGGCCCACCAAGACUACGAUGGAUAGGGGUUCUGAGAGGAAGGUCCCCCACAUUGGAACUGAGACACGGUCCAAACUCCUACGGGAGGCAGCAGUGAGGAAUAUUGGUCAAUGGACGAGAGUCUGAACCAGCCAAGUAGCGUGAAGGAUGACUGCCCUAUGGGUUGUAAACUUCUUUUAUAUGGGAAUAAAGUAUUCCACGUGUGGAAUUUUGUAUGUACCAUAUGAAUAAGGAUCGGCUAACUCCGUGCCAGCAGCCGCGGUAAUACGGAGGAUCCGAGCGUUAUCCGGAUUUAUUGGGUUUAAAGGGAGCGUAGGUGGAUUGUUAAGUCAGUUGUGAAAGUUUGCGGCUCAACCGUAAAAUUGCAGUUGAAACUGGCAGUCUUGAGUACAGUAGAGGUGGGCGGAAUUCGUGGUGUAGCGGUGAAAUGCUUAGAUAUCACGAAGAACUCCGAUUGCGAAGGCAGCUCACUAGACUGCAACUGACACUGAUGCUCGAAAGUGUGGGUAUCAAACAGGAUUAGAUACCCUGGUAGUCCACACAGUAAACGAUGAAUACUCGCUGUUUGCGAUAUACAGUAAGCGGCCAAGCGAAAGCAUUAAGUAUUCCACCUGGGGAGUACGCCGGCAACGGUGAAACUCAAAGGAAUUGACGGGGGCCCGCACAAGCGGAGGAACAUGUGGUUUAAUUCGAUGAUACGCGAGGAACCUUACCCGGGCUUAAAUUGCAUUUGAAUAAUCUGGAAACAGGUUAGCCGCAAGGCAAAUGUGAAGGUGCUGCAUGGUUGUCGUCAGCUCGUGCCGUGAGGUGUCGGCUUAAGUGCCAUAACGAGCGCAACCCUUAUCUUUAGUUACUAACAGGUCAUGCUGAGGACUCUAGAGAGACUGCCGUCGUAAGAUGUGAGGAAGGUGGGGAUGACGUCAAAUCAGCACGGCCCUUACGUCCGGGGCUACACACGUGUUACAAUGGGGGGUACAGAAGGCAGCUACCUGGCGACAGGAUGCUAAUCCCAAAAACCUCUCUCAGUUCGGAUCGAAGUCUGCAACCCGACUUCGUGAAGCUGGAUUCGCUAGUAAUCGCGCAUCAGCCAUGGCGCGGUGAAUACGUUCCCGGGCCUUGUACACACCGCCCGUCAAGCCAUGAAAGCCGGGGGUACCUGAAGUACGUAACCGCAAGGAGCGUCCUAGGGUAAAACUGGUAAU